This 731-nucleotide long non-coding RNA is filed under the name Cyanistes caeruleus (blue tit). Its description in RNAcentral is "lncRNA (ENSCCEG00000010470.1)". Lineage: Eukaryota; Metazoa; Chordata; Aves; Passeriformes; Paridae. The record is from RNAcentral.
GCCAGGGCCUGGCGGCCGCGGCGGGGCUGGGACACGGGCCCGGGGCUGGGCCGUGCGGGCAGGGCCUCGCCUCAGCAGGGCAAGGCCCGGCCUGCCCGGCCCUCACACACACAGAGAUUCCAGCCAGCAAUCCUCGCAGUCUCUCACAACACCCCACUUCUGGAUGUGUUUUGGACUAUGUUUAGGACUAUGACCCAGUCAAAUGUUGGAUUACGGAUGUCUGAUCGACAGCUCUUUAAACAGAGGUUUCUACUGAAGAUUGUUAGCAAGAGUUUAGCAAUUGUUCCUAGCUGUUGAGCUCUGGCCAAAAUAAAAAUGUUCCCUAAAUUAAAAAUGUACCACAAAUGCACCUGGGAUCAGAAACCUAUAUUUCAGGUGUUUUGAAGAGGAAUCAACUUUUAUGGAGGGAAAUGAACUUAUCUACUUGCUUACUUAAUUUCAAAAAUACGGCUCAACAUUCUGACUGACAGACUCUGAGACCUAAAUAAGAGAAUUCUCAGCAAGGAAGCUUCUGUUUUAUUCUUGUUGUCUUUACUUCUCUCUACCAUGGGCACACUGCGUACCACAUCAGAAAUAUGAGCAGACUGGGUUUUUAGCUUUGGAUUUUUUUAGCUUUUUGAUGCAAACUCAUUUGGCAUAAAUGUUUUAUUUCCUGCUUUGCAUUAGCACAAAAGAAGCUGAUGAAAGAAAGAAAGAAAGAAAGAAAGAAAGAAAGAAAGAAAGAAAGAAAG